Molecule: long non-coding RNA, 1116 nt
Organism: Harpegnathos saltator (Jerdon's jumping ant)
Lineage: Eukaryota; Metazoa; Arthropoda; Insecta; Hymenoptera; Formicidae
Exons: 3
Source: RefSeq, a predicted model, not a curated record
GCGCGCGCGCGCCAGGCCAGGUUGUUCCGAUUCCUUGGUCUCGCGACCUGUUGCUUUGCAACUGCUUCACGCCUCACGCAAUCUACGCCGACUUAAUACGCGUCGCCGGAUAACGGUGCAUAUAUUUGCUUCAUAUAUGUCCCGCUGCGUCGCGGACUCCCGUCGCGGCGCGACGGUCACGCGCGGCGGCGAACGCAGAGGCGAGACCAUCAAGGCGGAAAUAAAUCCUUGCGAAAGCGUGCGCGCGAGAAUUCGCGGAGAACGCAACGCGCUCGGCCGGCUUCGCGCGGAAAUAUCAAUGACGAUUUUGUGCGAACGCGAGUCGCAGGCGAGCGUCAUCGAAUCGAUCGCUCCGAGAUCGCCGCGAGAUGUCCGCCGGGUUUCUUCGCCGGCCGAGUGUGCCACCAGCGGUUCCGGUUCACGUAGUUCGCCGCAACGACGCUCACGAGGAGGUUGCUCAGGGUGAAGCAAAGGGCUCGUGACUGCGUGGCCGCUGCAAAGUGUCGCGAGGAUGAGGACUCUCAAGAUACGAGAGAUGGGACGCUGGCGGGACGCGAAUGCAGCCGCGGGGAAGGGGAAACGCGCGUUCUUCUGGGCUUCUCGCGCGCGGACUUUCGCAGCUACGAGAACGACGGUCUCUCCUCACCUUCUGAAACGCGCAGCGCGACGCACGCGAGAGAGAGAGAGAGAGAGCACGCCGGUGCCGCAUGAGCGUACGUGCAUCCGGUUGCCAUUCGCGGAUAUCCAGCCGCGAGAACGCGCUUGUUUCGCGGCGCUGGAGCGUUCAGUGGAAAAAAAAAGAAAAAAAGAGGUGAAUGCCGCGGAUCGAUCCAUCGGACAUCCGAGAGACGCGCCGUUUCCGGCGCUCUCGGGUCGGCUAAUUCGCCGCGAAUAUCGUCACCACGCGUUCGCUCGCCUGCACUGACCCGUCACUCUGACUCCUGAGACCACCGUGAGGAAGCACGCGCGGCUGCUAAUCGCGAGCGGAAAACGUCACGGAAUUUUCCGCGGAAACUCGCGGUCGCCGGAAAUCCCGCGUGCCGGAGCGGAAACCGCGCGCGAGCGCGGUCGCGCCAUUGAGGAAAACGCUCGCCGCACGUGGCCGAGGCGACGCGA